Zonotrichia albicollis (white-throated sparrow) is the source of this 1257-nucleotide non-coding RNA. NCBI's taxonomy places the organism in Eukaryota, Metazoa, Chordata, Aves, Passeriformes, Passerellidae. The record is from RefSeq and is a predicted model, not a curated record.
CCAGCGACCUCGGGGCGCUGCCAGGGGCUUUGGCAUCUGCGCGAGCGGUGGGCAAGAGGAGCAGUGUUGGAAACGCGAGCACCGGCGAGGGAUGGUGAUGCCUGCACCCCAAGGCUGAACUGGAGGUAAAUCACCAGCGGAUCGAUAACCUACCGAAGGUUCCUGAAAGGCUGCAACAUUGUACGGAGCCCGGUUAGCGGUUAAAUAAUUUCUUUAUUUAAUGUUUGCUACUUUGAGGAUACUGAAUAAAACCUUCCGGCUUGUGCUGUAACUGUUUCUUUACUGCUUAAAGUUAAAAGAAAAUAAAAACAAAGACGGUGUUUGCUAUGGAUUUUAAAAAAAUCCAUAUCUGAUGAGGGAUUUAAAGGAGCAUGAUUCGUUGUCUUUAUGUUUUGCAACGUGUCUGUGCUUUUUCUCGUCGAGCUUGGGCCUUGCAAGAACGAAUGUGUUUGUGGACAAUAAGAAUGAAUUUAGCAGGGAUCAAUGUAAACGGGGCAAGCUGUAAUUUUUAAACAUUUCUUUAGCCUCAGUUUUUAACUGAUGCAACUUGUGAAGCAAAGACAAAAGCAUAUUUGAAAUUCUACUAGAAAACUAGACAAAGAACUAUUUUUUUCCUGUACAUAAAGCCCCCUGAAAUUCUCAGCUAUCUAACUUUCAACAAAAUUAAAUUUGAACAACAUUUCUGUGCAGUUGAGGGUAACCUGCAUUGAGCAUUUUUAUACGUGUUUCCAAGGCCUGCAAGCUCAGUGUACGAAUUCAAGCUUUGUGCUUGAUAUGGUGAACAAGCUUCGCUGCAAUCACCCUUCUGCUUUAUUGAAGAAAUGUUACCCUGAAAGGUUAAAGAAAGGAGGCUAAAACAUCACUUAUUUCUAUUGUUGUAUUACAAAAACUAUAUUUAUAUAGUGGAUGUCUAGAUGCUGUGCAUUUUUUAUAUACAAUUAUCACAUGUCCUUAAAAAUCAUUAAAAUCCUAAUCUAGAAUUUUUAUCCUUAAGGUAAAUUAAUUUUGAAGCAUUUUUUUUUUAAUUAAAAAAAAGCAAGACUGUGUGUACUGGAUUUGAUCACUGUAUCUGUAGCUAUGAUCACUAUAUAUUUUUAAAUGUGCGAUCACUAUAUAUUUUUAAAUGUGCAUGUAUUUCCCUUUCCCAGAUUUGUUACAAUAACCACUCUGUUUCAGCUUCAUUUUAAAUCCAUGCUUCAAAUAAUUGAAAAGGAAAUGAAAUCAUAUUUAAUGUCUAAUAAAGAUUUUAAAAAUAAA